CCUACGGGUGGCAGCAGUGGGGAAUAUUGGGCAAUGGAGGCAACUCUUACCCAGCAAUGCCGCGUGAAUGAAGAAGGUCUUCGGAUUGUAAAGUUCUUUAAUUGGGGACGAAAAAAAUGACGGUACCCAAGGAAUAAGCCACGGCUAACUACGUGCCAGCAGCCGCGGUAAGACGUAGGGGGCAAGCGUUGUGCGGAAUGACUGGGCGUAAAGGGUGUGUAGGCGGUGUAGCAAGGUAGAAGUGAAAUACCUCGAGCUUAACUCCGGUGCUGCUUCUCAAACUGCUAUACUUGAGUGCAGUAGCGGUAAGUGGAAUUCCUAGUGUAGCGGUGGAAUGCUUAGAUAUUA
This 348-nucleotide ribosomal RNA is filed under the name uncultured bacterium. Its description in RNAcentral is "partial 16S ribosomal RNA". It matches the Rfam family "Bacterial small subunit ribosomal RNA", at positions 338 to 699 of the family's 1533-position model. The record is from RNAcentral.